Molecule: ribosomal RNA, 253 nt
Filed under: uncultured bacterium
Lineage: Bacteria
Description: partial 16S ribosomal RNA
Rfam family: Bacterial small subunit ribosomal RNA
Source: RNAcentral
UACGUAGGUGGCAAGCGUUGUCCGGAAUUAUUGGGCGUAAAGCGCGCGCAGGCGGUUCCUUAAGUCUGAUGUGAAAGCCCACGGCCCAACCGUGGAGGGUCAUUGGAAACUGGGGAACUUGAGUGCAGGAGAGAAGAGUGGAAUUCCACGUGUAGCGGUGAAAUGCGUAGAGAUGUGGAGGAACACCAGUGGCGAAGGCGACUCUUUGGCCUGUAACUGACGCUGAGGCGCGAAAGCGUGGGGAGCAAACAGG